GAAAUAAGAUUUUAAAUGAGUGCUAAGAGAAUGAUUAAACAAUUAAAAGCUUUCUUUAAUUAAAAAAUUAAAUUUAAUUUUUUAGUGCAAAAGCAAAAAUAAAAUUUAGGGACAAGAAGACCCUAUGAAUUUUUAUUGUUAAUAAUUAAAAUUUAAGUUAUUAAUAAUUUAAUUGGGGCGAUAAAAAAAGAAUAAGUAUCUUUUUAGUUAUAAAAUAAGUUCCGUUUUUAACGAUUAAAUGAAAUAAAUACUCUAGGGAUAACAGCGUAAUAAUUUUGGAUAGUUCAUAUAGAUAAAAUAGUUUGCGACCUCGAUGUUGGAUUAGGAUUCUU
RNAcentral lists this ribosomal RNA (332 nucleotides) under Ixodes scapularis (black-legged tick). RNAcentral's name for it is "partial 16S ribosomal RNA". Lineage: Eukaryota; Metazoa; Arthropoda; Arachnida; Ixodida; Ixodidae. The record is from RNAcentral.